RNAcentral lists this ribosomal RNA (249 nucleotides) under uncultured bacterium. RNAcentral's name for it is "partial 16S ribosomal RNA". It matches the Rfam family "Bacterial small subunit ribosomal RNA", at positions 524 to 776 of the family's 1533-position model. The record is from RNAcentral.
UACGAAGGGGCUAGCGUUGCUCGGAAUCACUGGGCGUAAAGGGUGCGUAGGCGGGUCUUUAAGUCAGGGGUGAAAUCCUGGAGCUCAACUCCAGACUGCCUUUGAUACUGGAGCUUGAGUCCGGAGAGGUGAGUGGAACUCCGAGUGGUAGAGGUGAAUUCGAUAGAUAUUCGCAAGAACACCAGUGGCGAAGGCGGCUCACUGGCCCGGUACUGACGCUGAGGCACGAAAGCGUGGGGAGCAAACAGG